This is a long non-coding RNA of Clupea harengus (Atlantic herring), 1187 nucleotides long. Lineage: Eukaryota; Metazoa; Chordata; Actinopteri; Clupeiformes; Clupeidae. The record is from Ensembl.
UGUGUGUGUGUGUGUGUAGUAACUGUGUGUGUGUGUGUAGUAACUGUGUGUGUGUGUGUAGUAACUGUGUGUGUGUGUAGUAACUGUGUGUGUGUGUGUGUGUGUGUAGUAACUGUGUGUGUGUGUGUAGUAACUCUGUGUGUGUGUGUGUGUGUAGUAACUCUGUGUGUGUGUGUUAACUGUGUGUGUGUGUAGUAACUGUGUGUAGUAACUGAUUGUGUGUGUGUUGUACAGGUAGCCCGAUGCGCCUCAGAAGAGAUUCUUCCUGCUUGGAUACGCACUUUCAGCGCUGGGGAGAUUUGAAAACUACCCAUUUAAUAAUCUUUUUUUUUUUUAAACUCUAAAUUAAUAAAACCUCUACGCAUUUCUCAUUUCUCUAUGGUAGUUUAUGUUGAUUGUAUAUUCACGCACACGCACACAAAUGCCCCUUAAUUCUGAACUUUGGUUGUGGAAACAGUGGCAAAUUUCAGACGCAAUAUUGAACGUGUUCAGUGUCAGCUUCGAUUGCGUUUUUUCUUAUUUGUGAAAUGGACACGGAGAAAAGACACACACACACUUAUUGGAGAAAGGUUGUUGGCUGCUAAUAGCGUUCUCUUUGGUAUCGGUAGGGGGCUGGUUUUAUUUAUUUGGUGUUUAAAGAGCAUAACCGUGUUUUUUGUUAUAUUUCUAGCUUAGGGAAAUCAUUUUAACCCCAAGACUUAUUUUUUGGAAACAAAUUUGAGGAUUGUGGUGAUUUCAGUUAAUUUACGUUUUAAAGUUUUGCAUACAAAGUUUGUUGAAUUGGUUAGUUCUUUAAAAUGCCACUUUAUCCCCCUUUUGUAAUGUUGGGACAUAAACAUGGUCAUAUAUACAGGGGUAUAACAACAACAACAAAACAAUGCGUUUUAUAAUUUAUCUGGAAUCAUUUUUGUGCUUUUCUGCUCUAAAGGCAUCAUGUUUUAACUGCUGCUGGAAAUGAUUUAUCAUCACUGUUCUGUUGUAUCCCUGUUUAUUGUUUACUGUUUAUUGUUCUCUUCAUUGUCUUCCUUUUUGUCAAAAAUAAAACCAUGUAAAAAUGAUGUUGAAGUGAGAAGCAUCAGAGGUUUUGUCUUUAUAUACAAACUAAAUAUAUUUACACAUGUAUUAGUAUGUUUUCAGGAUUAUUCAUGGAAGUUGUCCUGUACUAUUGUAUAAAAAGCCUGGAGAAG